Long non-coding RNA from Cebus imitator (Panamanian white-faced capuchin), 670 nucleotides. RefSeq lists it as uncharacterized. NCBI's taxonomy places the organism in Eukaryota, Metazoa, Chordata, Mammalia, Primates, Cebidae. The transcript is spliced from 3 exons. The record is from RefSeq and is a predicted model, not a curated record.
UCGGGACAGCGUGGACGUGUCUCUGGGCGGCCUGUUUUAUUUUGCGAAUCUGUGUGGGUUUUUAAAUUCUGUUGCCCCGUAAAAUACCUAUGUUUCUUUUUAACAUCUAAUGCUUCUCCCCGGAAAAUCAUCAAGCGAAAUUUAGGCUCCAUGCAGAUAUGUCACUUGGUUUCCCCCCUGUAACUUCGGUAUCCCCCACACUCCGCUUAUUGUGUUAGAAGCCAGCAGCACUGGCACCUUGCAGCCGCUCCAGAUCCACCUCGUUUGGCUCCUCCACUCGUUCCCUUUACAACUCUUUUCCGUAGAGCAUUACUGUGGCGGACAGAGCACCUGUGGGAGGUGCAGGCGAUGGCGAGCUUAGCGGGGUGCGGCCUGCGCCCUAGCGCUUUGCCGGCUGCUGGAGGGACGCAGCGCUGAGGUCACCACAGCCUUUAGACUGUCUGCAGCCCUCCCAGGUAUUCGCCGGGGCGGAGGUUAUGGGGAUUCUUACAUUGAUCCCGUCCUCAACCUGUUUCCCAAGACGUAAUCUGUAAUAGAGGGUGUGAGGUGUUUUUAAACAUGACAUUUUUCAAGGUAACAAUAAUGUCCCAAAAGCCGAAACCUAAACUUGAAAAGCGUGUUAAGAUUAGGAACUGUGGGCCGGGCACAGUGGCUCACGCCUGUAAUCCCA